Long non-coding RNA from Gadus macrocephalus (Pacific cod), 2694 nucleotides. RefSeq lists it as uncharacterized. The record is from RefSeq and is a predicted model, not a curated record. The transcript has 3 exons. Lineage: Eukaryota; Metazoa; Chordata; Actinopteri; Gadiformes; Gadidae.
GCUCUGGAGAGAGAGGGGGGGGGGAGAGGGAGGGAACGAGAGCGAGAGAGAGAGAAUGAGGACCGUGGUGUGCUGAAUCGAUUCCGUCUGUAAAGUCACGUCACACACUGACUCAAAUAUUGAUGUUUAGUUUAAGUUUAAGGAUCCGACUGCCCUUUGUCCCUUCAGAGAUAGCGAUUUAUUUACUGUACGGAUUGCGUUGGACAACCCGGCUCUGGGAGUAUUAUGGGAUGCCGCCCUGUGUCAGGACUGUGGCGUCCCCCCGCUGUGUGCUGGCUCCACAGGAGCGUUUGGACCUCCAGGGUUUUGCUACUGGACCUUAUGGGGUCCCGGUGGGGGAGGCUUCCUCUAGCCGCUGAGUGCUGGCAGACUGGGACUUCUGGACCUGUGUGUGUGCUGGUCGCAGGCCCGCCGCUCCCUAUACGCAGAGUACGCAGAGUGCGUAGGGCACCAAGUACCUGAGGGGGGCACCAAAAAUUAAGGGCGCUGAAAUGGCCAGCAGCGGCCCUGGGUGGUCGUGUUGGGGAAUGAAGAACCCCCGGACUGGACCCGCCCUCACCUGGGGAGGACAGAACUGAGACGCAGCUACGUGAGCGGCUGAACACGCGUUGGAGCGUAACGGCUUCGUGAGGCCGGGGAUGCUCCCCAGCCUCCCGUUGGUGGUGCGGGUCAACGUGGGCGUGGUGUGUGGAGGACGGCUGGUCGAGGCAGCCUCACCUGGCCGGGUCUGACAGGAGUCUGGGGCUGGUGAGGCGGCACACCUGUGGUGCGUUGAGUAAUCAGAGGGCAACAGGUUAAAGCAGCCGUCAACACACACGCAGAGAGUUCUCCUCGGUGGAAACAUGGAAUGAAUGAAUGAAUGAAUGAAUGCAUUUUAUCGGUCAUAACCAAAGGGUAAGGGCAGAAGCUUCAGCUUAUAUCGAGUACCAAACAAAAUGUCAUACGUACAGUGUGUUUGCAUAUACAUGCAUACACUUACCUACAUAAAGACACAUACACGCCUACAUAUACCUAUUAGGGUCAAUACUUCUAUCCCGUAAAUUUCCACCAUAAGAUGGAUAAUAUCCUAAAUAAAGAUCAAAUCAAAUCAAAUUGAUUUGAUUUAUUUAUAUUUAUGGAUGAUAUCCAUGAUGAGAAUAACGCUGUUGAUCACCAUCACCCUUAUCAGCAUUCUCAUAGCGUGAUACUACCGGUACCAGGCCCUGGAUCAGUACCACCAGACCUCCACAAUGCACCGGUCCACCAACACUCCCAGCCUGGGCCCUUGGCCUGCAGGAGCCCAGCAGAAGCCCCCUAGCUGGAGGGUAGACCGGACCUGGAUGCAGUCACUUCUUAGAAACAUUUUCAAAUUUAAUGAGAUGAGACAUAUCAAACAGUAGAUAAGAUUGUAAUCGUAUAUUAUUGAUCUAUUAUUGGGAUUCUGGUCACUAAAGAUCACACACAAAAGGCUUUGGUCUCUUCAGUUUAUGUACAAAUACUACUAAACUGAGUACUGCUACUUUGUGUGUACUUUGUUUUAUAUUUAUUAUGUGUAUAUAUGUACAGUAUGUAUGUAAUACAUACUGUACUACAUACAGUAUGUAUUACAUACAUGGCAGAUGUCAGACAUUAGAUAUAAACUUGCCUCCUCUCUGGUUAAAGCGCUCCUUCUGAGUCUUAAGCAUGCCUUGGAAGUCCUGCUGAUGACUCACUAAGUAUCCAGUUUCCCUCUCCAGGUAGUCGGGGUCCUCUCUGGUGAGCUGGUCCACCCGGGCCGGUUUGGGGACAAUUCUCUGGGUGUUGCUGUCAAAGUGAAAAAACUGAACCUCAUCCAUCGUCCCAACCGCAACAAACUCUGGGAAGGAGAGAGUCCAGACGACGCCAUCAUAAGACAUCUGAUAUCAGGACGCUAGUGGAGGAAGAUCAUCAAAGAUAUGAACUCUGGUCACACUAAGCCCAAUAACUUCACUAAAUGAAAGGACCUAACCUAUAAACAGCGUAUAUAGAGAAUAUUUUCAGAUUUUUUGGGGGAUUAUAUUGACCAAAUAACCCCAAACAAGAGUACAGCGAUUUUUACAUUUGGAUUAAUAUUUAAUCCAAUUCCAAUUUUUUUGUAAAAAUACAAAAAAAAACUAUUCAUGCUAGAGCAGCCUAGCUCGAUUGUGCUAGCCGUUGUUGCAAGGUCGUGCUGCCAUGGUUUCCAAGCAUCAGUGAAAGAUUAGGCAGGUUUAAGCCAGCUAACUUAAUCAAAUCUAUCACAAAUACAGCGAUCUAAUUGAUUUACAAUUUUUACGGAUAAAUGGUUGUUAUCAAGAUAAAGUUAAGUAUGAAUGUUAUUGUUAUUAAGCAAAUAUAGCAUCUUUAGUUAGCUGAAGUUUGUAAGGAUUAUAAAUGAACUGCGAUCCACUGCAUCCUGGUUUAGGAAGCUGAACGUGAGAAGCAUCUUCAUGAUUUAACUACAAACCUUAACAGCAAGAAAGUACAAGUCAGCAUUAAACAUUAAACACAUUAUCAAUGUGAUGUUGUACUGUUAAUAUAUUACUGUGAUGAUGCACUGUUAACAUAUGACUGUUAAUGUUAAUCUAUUAGCGUGAUGAAGUACUGUUAGAAUAUUACUGUGAUGAAGUACUGUUCAAAUAUGAUUGUUAAUCUAUUAAGGUAUGGCCACACAGAACGCAUUACGCGCGUAACGCGCCUAGCCUGCCGCUUGAUCAU